Molecule: ribosomal RNA, 477 nt
Filed under: uncultured bacterium
Lineage: Bacteria
Description: partial 16S ribosomal RNA
Rfam family: Bacterial small subunit ribosomal RNA
Source: RNAcentral
GAUUAACGCUGGCGGCGUGCAUAACACAUGCAAGUCGAACGAUGAAACUUAGUCGACUUCUUCGGAAAGACACUAAGCGGAUUAGUGGCGAACGGGUGAGUAACGCGUGAGUAACCUGCCUUACACAAGGGGAUAGCCUUUGGAAACGAAGAAUAAUACCCUAUAAAACCAUAAAAGCACAUGCUAGAAUGGUCAAAGUGAUAGCGGUGUAAGAUGGACUUGCGUCUGAUUAGCCAGUUGGUGAGAUAAAAGCUCACCAAGGCAACGAUCAGUAGCCGGCUUGAGAGAGUGUACGGCCACAUUGGGACUGAGGCACGGCCCAGACUCCUACGGGAGGCAGCAGUGGGGAAUUUUGCACAAUGGGGGAAACCCUGAUGCAGCGACGCCGCGUGAUUUAGAAGGCCUUCGGGUUGUAAAAAUCUUUUGUAUAGGAAGAAAAUGACAGUACUAUACGAAUAAGGUCCGGCUAAUUACGUG